AACAAACGCUGGCGGCGUGCCUAAUACAUGCAAGUCGAACGAAUGUAGCAAUACAUGAGUGGCGUACGGGUGAGUAACACGUGGAUAAUCUUCCUUUAAGUGGGGAAUAACCAAUCGAAAGAUUGGCUAAUACCGCAUAAGACCACAGUUUCUUCGGAGACAGGGGUUAAAGGCUUCGGCCGCUUUUAGAUGAGUCUGCGUCCGAUUAGCUAGUUGGUGAGGUAAUGGCUCACCAAGGCGACGAUCGGUAACUGGGCUGAGAGGAUGACCAGUCACACUGGGACUGAGACACGGCCCAGACUCCUACGGGAGGCAGCAGUAGGGAAUAUUGCACAAUGGAGGAAACUCUGAUGCAGCGACGCCGCGUGAGUGAUGAAGGCCUUCGGGUUGUAAAGCUCUGUUCUCAGGGAAUAAUAAAUUGAAGGUACCUGAGAAGAAAGGACCGGCUAACCUCGUGCCAGCCGCCGCAGUAA
RNAcentral lists this ribosomal RNA (473 nucleotides) under uncultured bacterium. Its description in RNAcentral is "partial 16S ribosomal RNA". It matches the Rfam family "Bacterial small subunit ribosomal RNA", at positions 29 to 523 of the family's 1533-position model. The record is from RNAcentral.